RNAcentral lists this transfer RNA (74 nucleotides) under Rivularia sp. (in: cyanobacteria). Its description in RNAcentral is "tRNA-Phe". It matches the Rfam family "tRNA". Rfam says of the family: Transfer RNA (tRNA) molecules are approximately 80 nucleotides in length. Their secondary structure includes four short double-helical elements and three loops (D, anti-codon, and T loops). Further hydrogen bonds mediate the characteristic L-shaped molecular structure. tRNAs have two regions of fundamental functional importance: the anti-codon, which is responsible for specific mRNA codon recognition, and the 3' end, to which the tRNAs corresponding amino acid is attached (by aminoacyl-tRNA synthetases). tRNAs cope with the degeneracy of the genetic code in two manners: having more than one tRNA (with a specific anti-codon) for a particular amino acid; and 'wobble' base-pairing, i.e. permitting non-standard base-pairing at the 3rd anti-codon position. Lineage: Bacteria; Bacillati; Cyanobacteriota; Cyanophyceae; Nostocales; Rivulariaceae. The record is from RNAcentral. RNAcentral also lists the same sequence under 1 other name.
CCCCCGGUAGCUCAAUUGGUAGUAGCGCCUGUUUGAAGCACAGGAGGCAGUCAGUUCGAUUCUGACCUGGGGGA